Molecule: long non-coding RNA, 1505 nt
Filed under: Citrus sinensis (sweet orange)
Lineage: Eukaryota; Viridiplantae; Streptophyta; Magnoliopsida; Sapindales; Rutaceae
Description: long non-coding RNA (CSIN_LNC003369)
Source: RNAcentral
UUUUUUUUUUUUUUCCAUUCGUUGUUGUUCAUUAUUGUUCAUUCUUCGCAUAAUGUUUACUAUUCUUUUUCCCCACAGCAAUCUAUCUUUUGAUGGAUUUUCUUUUCUUCUCAUGAGACCAUCCCUAAUUAAAGUAAACUUAAAUCGCUUGUUGAUGCAUGAUAGUGAUUUUAUGGUAAUUUCUUAAAUGCUACCUAAGCGUCAUGUUUGAGGAUAUACUAUUUUUUUUUGGGGGCUUAGUUUUAUUUAUUAAUUUAUUGAUAAGAAAGUAGAUAUUGUUAUUGAAAAACAAGAUAUAAUUUCAGACUAAUAUCAUUAGCGGAGAACAUCAUCUUUAUUGGCAUACAUACAUACAUACAUACAUACACGUGUGCGCGCGCGUGCGUGCGUGCAUGUUGAAAUUUAUGAAUGUAUCUAUAUAUGUACAUGUGUAUGCAUGUAUGUGCUACCUAAUAUUCUGGUUUUGCAAACAUUAGAUAUUGCUAGGUCUAUCUAGAUCAACCUGAGUGAUACUUGCAUGGUUUUAUUUUGCUUUUAGUUAUUAGUUUUCUAUAUCCUUUUCUAUGUUAUCUAUUUAUUGUGUACAUUGUUUCCUCUAUAAUGGAUCUAUUGGAAACCUUUUGAAGGAAAAAAAGAACUUGUCCAUGUCAGAGCUUGAGACAUCCAGAGUAGCUGCUGUUGUUAAAAUUUUGAAGGACACAUCACACUACCAUUGUAGUAGUUUUGCAGAUGUUGACAUUUCAUUGUUGUUGAAAUUGCUAAAAACAUGGCCUCCGGCAAUGAUAUUUCCAGGUUUGUAAGGCUAUUACUAUUAGUAUGUGGUUCCUCAUUGAGGUUCUUCCAAUAAAUUUUAGUUCAUUGUGGUACAGACUUCACAGUGUAGUCAAUUUGUAAUAUUUUAUAGUCUCUGUUGGAUUAUGGAUUGAUUGUUCUUUACUUGUUACCUGUUCAUACUUGUGCCUAAUACUCGUACCUCUCUAACAUAUCAAGGAUAUAUAUUUUUUUCCCCUCACUUUCUAGUUAUUGUGCUUUCUACUUUUGCAGUUAUUGAUAUUCUGAGGAUGACCAUCCUGCAUCCUGAUGGAGCUAGCCUACUUCUCAAGCAUGUUGAAAAUCAAAAUGGUAUUAGAGAGAGAAAUUUAGCUUUUCUGUUUACGUUUUAUACUGACAAUUGAUAUUAUUUAUAAUCUUGUGGUACAACAUACCUAUGUCAUGAUGUGCAACAAUCCUUAUUUUGUUGAUAAACAUGGAAUGUACUUGUGGAUGAUGCCACAUCGCCUAGUAUUUAACUUUUUUUGUACUGUCAGAAGUUCUUCGCAUAAUGUUUACUAUUCUUUUUCCCCACAGCAAUCUAUCUUUUGAUGGAUUUUCUUUUCUUCUCAUGAGACCAUCCCUAAUUAAAGUAAACUUAAAUCGCUUGUUGAUGCAUGAUAGUGAUUUUAUGGUAAUUUCUUAAAUGCUACCUAAGCGUCAUGUUUGAGGAUAUACUAUUUUUUUUUGGGGGC